This 1520-nucleotide long non-coding RNA is filed under the name Anser brachyrhynchus (Pink-footed goose). RNAcentral describes it as "lncRNA (ENSABRG00000004452.1)". The record is from RNAcentral. Lineage: Eukaryota; Metazoa; Chordata; Aves; Anseriformes; Anatidae.
ACCGUGAUCCUAAUUAAAAAAAAAAAAAAAAAGACAAAGUACCUUUGUGUUCAGAAUCCUGGUUCUUUGCUAGUGUAAAUAAUCGUUUCCUUUCCCUCUCCUUUGUAUAUCUUUCUUCUUCUGAGCCAACACAGGUAAGGAACUGGCAGUGGGAUCCUGUUCCUUAUGAUAUCAGCAGGAGCUACAUAAAUCCUAACCAUGUUCAUCUGCACAGCCCCACUGAGAGCAUUGUGGGCACAAGGCGGUCCCCUGGAUCAUUAUCAACAGGAAUGACUAGGGGGCAAGUAUCUGUCAGAAACUGUGUGAAUAAUCAAUGUUUUUUUAGGCAGGGGAUGCACUGGAUGAUCUCCCAAAGUCCCUUCCAGCACUCUUCCAGCACCAGAAUAUGUGAUAACAUGAGGAGAAAAGGACCCCAGCUUGGUUUUCUAAGUCAGCUCUUUGCAGGACUCCAAAAAUCAACUAAGGAAAAAAGCAUCCUUCCGCCUGCAAGCAAAGUUCAUUGGUUAAAUGUAAACCCCUUGACCUCAUCAUUUUUUCCAUGUAUCCAUUAUAUAUCUGCCUGUGGUGCACCACUCCACCGCCAGGACCAAAAGAACAAUGUAUGAAACGCUUCUGCCAAAGUAGCACCACAUUCGUUGGUAACAGGCAAUUCUAGGCCACGCAGAUUUAUUUGUCCUUCUCUUGCUAAGACUGCUUUCUCUCCUAGAAAAUCACAUUAAUCAUGCUGUCAGAUAUUUUGUCAGGGUUUCUGAUGGGAAAACCUAGAGAAGAGCUCAUGGUUAUCAUUGCCACUAAUGGAGCUUGUCCUGCAGGAGAGCUGGAGGCAUUAGGUCAUGGAUCAGGUGCUGCGCAGCAUGCUGCGAAAUGUGGAUCACAUCCCGUGUUUUCCCCCAUAGAUUUUGUCUUCUGAAUAGAAAAUGUCUUUUUUCUUUGUCAGUCUUCAUCAGGACAGAGUACUUGACUGGACUGGAAAUGUUAUACAACAAGAAUCACCCUUUUUGUUAAUAUUUACAUUUAUAUAAAAGUCAGACCAAUGAUGUCCAUGCCACUGUUUGUGACUGUGCCACAAAUUCUUCCAGUUACUGUGUAUGUGUAAUCAAUAGUUUUACUUUGAUCUUAUUGUUAUUAUGUAUGACUUGAUAUGUACAAUCCUCAUCAUUGCUUCCAGGUUUAUUUCUUAAAGAACAGUGAAUUGCUUUGAACAUUGCACCUAAGUCUAAAAUAAUGAGUGAGUAUUAAUGGGCUGUGGUUUUUGUUUAUGUAUAUACAGCGUGCGGUUUUCACACUGGCUGAGUGUAUUUCACUUUUAUACUACACAUUUUUAAUACAUUUUCAGCCACAGAGGAUUUAAUACCACUUUACAGCAGUCUUGUCUGAACCCUCAGAUUAAGCUGAAAAGGUGCUGGGAAAUAUUGAAAAAGAGGAAAAAAUAGAAACGUACAGAUGCUCAUCAUUACCUUACUGCAGGUUGCUACAAAAAGUUAAAUAAACGGAAAAACACUUUUCUUUUUUUUUUGGUA